RNAcentral lists this ribosomal RNA (257 nucleotides) under uncultured bacterium. RNAcentral describes it as "partial 16S ribosomal RNA". It matches the Rfam family "Bacterial small subunit ribosomal RNA", at positions 524 to 776 of the family's 1533-position model. The record is from RNAcentral.
UACGUAGGGUGUAAGCGUUGUCCGGAAUUAUUGGGCGUAAAGAGCUCGUAGGCGGUUUGUCGCGUCUGCUGUGAAAACGCGAGGCUCAACCUCGCGCCUGCAGUGGGUACGGGCAGACUAGAGUGUGGUAGGGGAGAUUGGAAUUCCUGGUGUAGCGGUGAAAUGCGUAGAUAUCGGGAGGAACACCUGUGGCGAAAGCGGCUCACUGGACCAUAACUGACGCUGAUGGCACCGAAAAGCUGGGGGGAGCAAACAGG